GACGAACGCUGGCGGCGUGCUUAACACAUGCAAGUCGAACGAAGUGGCGAACGGGUGAGUAACGCGUAAUCAACCUGCCCUUCAGAGGGGGACAACAGUUGGAAACGACUGCUAAUACCGCAUACUGAAGGGGGGGGUUGCGUCUGUUUCGCAAGUUGGAGGGGUAACGGCCUACCAAGGCGAUGAUCAGGAGCCGGUCUGAGAGGAUGAACGGCCACAUUGGGACUGAGACACGGCCCAGACUCCUACGGGAGGCAGCAGUGGGGAAUCUUCCGCAAUGGACGAAAGUCUGACGGAGCAACGCCGCGUGAGUGAUGACGGCCUUCGGGUUGUAAAGCUCUGUUAAUCGGGACGCGGUACCGGAAUAGAAAGCCACGGCUAACUACGUGCCAGCAGCCGCGGUAAUUC
Molecule: ribosomal RNA, 408 nt
Filed under: uncultured bacterium
Lineage: Bacteria
Description: partial 16S ribosomal RNA
Rfam family: Bacterial small subunit ribosomal RNA
Source: RNAcentral